RNAcentral lists this ribosomal RNA (292 nucleotides) under uncultured bacterium. RNAcentral describes it as "partial 16S ribosomal RNA". It matches the Rfam family "Bacterial small subunit ribosomal RNA", at positions 505 to 796 of the family's 1533-position model. The record is from RNAcentral.
GUGUCAGCCGCCGCGGUAAUACGUAGGUGGCAAGCGUUGUCCGGAUUUAUUGGGUUUAAAGGGUGCGUAGGCGGUCUUAUAAGUCAGUGCUGAAAUAUCCCGGCUUAACCGGGAGGGUGGCAUUGAUACUGUAGGACUUGAGUAAAGUUGAGGUUGGCGGAAUUGACGGUGUAGCGGUGAAAUGCUUAGAUAUCGUCAAGAACACCUAUAGCGAAGGCAGCUAACUAAGCUUUAACUGACGCUGAGGCACGAAAGUGUGGGGAUCAAACAGGAUUAGAUACCCCCGUAGUCC